AUUGGAGUCCACGUGAAGAGCAUCUUUUGUCAAGAGUGGAAGCCUGGUGGUGAAGACAAGGAGAUCGACUUGUCACAGACAGAGCACAGCAGAGAGUAGAAACAGAUGGAGGUUGACAUCGCAAACAGAUCAACCACUCAACAAACAGCCUCGAAAGCAUUGACAUCCGUCAAACCUCAAGCCAUUCUCAACGACAAGAAAUCACCAGGUCUACGGAAGGGAGUACAUUGAAGAAACGGGUGCCAACUCCUUAUUCCAAGGUGAUUGAAGACAAGGGUGCUAAUCAGCAACGUAGACAAGCGGCACUUGCCUAUCGUUCAUGUAGUCCUGACCUGCCAGUUCAAGGUAAGAUGGCAAACGUAGCAAUUAGGCAAUGAAUUGAAUAGGUUAUGCAUCUAGUGGACAAAUAACAGAUGGUUG
This is a long non-coding RNA of Corticium candelabrum, 420 nucleotides long. RefSeq lists it as uncharacterized. Lineage: Eukaryota; Metazoa; Porifera; Homoscleromorpha; Homosclerophorida; Plakinidae. The record is from RefSeq and is a predicted model, not a curated record. The transcript has 4 exons.